AGACCUUUCUCGGCCUUCUGGCUAGGAUAAAGCGUAUAAUUCUGUUCUUAUUCUUCUUGAAUAAGUUCAGAAUUUAGGAAUAUGUUCACUUUGCGGUCCCUCAACUUUCGGUCGAGUUCAAAUAUCGGAUGUGUGGGCCAUGUUCACAUGGCAUGGCCUGCUUUUAUAUCCAACUUAUUUUUUAUGGGGGAGGGCCCAUCAGUGGCUUUGCCACUAUGGCCCUUGUGCGUUGCCGAGGCGUUGCACUACUGCCCGGGCCUGGCGCACCCCAA
This 272-nucleotide small nuclear RNA is filed under the name Oryza punctata. RNAcentral's name for it is "snRNA U2". It matches the Rfam family "U2 spliceosomal RNA". From Rfam's summary of the family: U2 is a small nuclear RNA (snRNA) component of the spliceosome (involved in pre-mRNA splicing). Complementary binding between U2 snRNA (in an area lying towards the 5' end but 3' to hairpin I) and the branchpoint sequence (BPS) of the intron results the bulging out of an unpaired adenosine, on the BPS, which initiates a nucleophilic attack at the intronic 5' splice site, thus starting the first of two transesterification reactions that mediate splicing. Lineage: Eukaryota; Viridiplantae; Streptophyta; Magnoliopsida; Poales; Poaceae. The record is from Rfam by way of RNAcentral.